RNAcentral lists this unclassified non-coding RNA (384 nucleotides) under Zea mays. RNAcentral's name for it is "misc RNA Zm00001eb249620". Lineage: Eukaryota; Viridiplantae; Streptophyta; Magnoliopsida; Poales; Poaceae. The record is from RNAcentral.
GCUUCUCUUCUUCACCUCCCCUUUUUUUCGUUUUUUUUUUUACCUUGGUGGAUUUUAUCUCGCUCCCUGACGAUGCUUAUCUCGAAUACCUGACGACGGCGCUAAUCUGCGUGCUUCAGCUCCUUCAAGCACCUGGAUUGAAGUGGAGAUCUGAGACGGUAGAGAGCUCCAUCUCCUCGGGCGGGGGCGCCACGUUCAGAUCGAUCAUGCAGGUGCUGUUGAUCGGGGACGGGGGAGUGGUGGCGGCUGAGAUGGAGGCCGUGCUGGUGCCUGCAACCGACGCCGCGGCCGCCGCGCCACUCACAUGGGACCGCUUGUGCUGCUGCUUUGCAUCCAUGUCCUCGUCCUCGUCCCCGUCCCCGUCAUGGUGCUCCGGCAAUGGCG